GCCGGGCGCGGUGGUUCACGCCUGUAAUCCUAGCACUUUGGGAGGCCGAGGCGGGUGGAUCACCUGAGGUCAGGAGUUCCAGACCAGCCUGGCCAACAUGGUGAAACCCCGUCUCUA
RNAcentral lists this non-coding RNA (117 nucleotides) under Homo sapiens (human). Lineage: Eukaryota; Metazoa; Chordata; Mammalia; Primates; Hominidae. The record is from Rfam by way of RNAcentral.